GUGGGGAAUAUUGCACAAUGGGCGGAAGCCUGAUGCAGCGACGCCGCGUGAGGGAUGACGGCCUUCGGGUUGUAAACCUCUUUCAGCACGGAAGAAGCGAGAGUGACGGUACGUGCAGAAGAAGCGCCGGCUAACUACGUGCCAGCAGCCGCGGUAAUACGUAGGGCGCAAGCGUUGUCCGGAAUUAUUGGGCGUAAAGAGCUCGUAGGCGGUUUGUCGCGUCUGCUGUGAAAGCCCGGGGCUUAACCCCGGGUGUGCAGUGGGUACGGGCAGACUUGAGUGCAGUAGGGGAGACUGGAAUUCCUGGUGUAGCGGUGAAAUGCGCAGAUAUCAGGAGGAACACCGAUGGCGAAGGCAGGUCUCUGGGCUGUUACUGACGCUGAGGAGCGAAAGCAUGGGGAGCGAACAGGAUUAGAAACCCUAGUAGUCC
RNAcentral lists this ribosomal RNA (430 nucleotides) under uncultured bacterium. Its description in RNAcentral is "bacterial SSU rRNA". It matches the Rfam family "Bacterial small subunit ribosomal RNA", at positions 354 to 796 of the family's 1533-position model. The record is from RNAcentral.